This 450-nucleotide ribosomal RNA is filed under the name uncultured bacterium. Its description in RNAcentral is "partial 16S ribosomal RNA". It matches the Rfam family "Bacterial small subunit ribosomal RNA", at positions 354 to 796 of the family's 1533-position model. The record is from RNAcentral.
GUGGGGAAUAUUCCGCAAUGGACGAAAGUCUGACGGAGCAACGCCGCGUGAGUGAUGAAGGUUUUCGGACUGUAAAGCUCUGUUGUUUAGGACGAAAGUGCCUGUUGCAAAUAGUUACAGGUAUUGACGGUACUGAACGAGGAAGCCACGGCUAACUACGUGCCAGCAGCCGCGGUAAUACGUAGGUGGCAAGCGUUGUCCGGAAUUAUGGGGCGUAAAGAGCAUGUAGGCGGGAAUCUAAGUCUGUUGUGAUAAUGCGGGGCUCAACCCAGUAUGGCGAUGGAAACUGGGUUUCUUGAGUGCAGGAGAGGAAAGGGGAAUUCCCAGUGUAGCGGUGAAAUGCGUAGAUAUUGGGAGGAACACCAGUGGCGAAGGCGCCUUUCUGGACUGUGUCUGACGCUGAGAUGCGAAAGCCAGGGUAGCGAACGGGAUUAGAAACCCGUGUAGUCC